UGAAUCUAGCGGUCUGGCCUGCCCACUGAUUCCUAAAGGGCCGCGGUAUACUGACCGUGCGAAGGUAGCAUAAUCACUAGUCUUUUAAUUGAAGGCUCGCAUGAACGGUYGAACAAGGGGUAACCUGUCUCAAUCAUAAAYAUUAAACUUAACCUUUAAGUGAAAAGGCUUAAAUAAYCUAGAAGGACGAUAAGACCCUGUAAAACUUCACACCACUGAARUGAACUCCGAAUUGUUUGUAAACACCUGUUCACUUCCCAACGUGUUUCAUUGGGGAGAUGGGAGCAUAAACCCAACUGCYYCUAACAUCAAACAAUAAUAUUUGCCUUUAACGAUCCUUUYUAAAGAAUACAAGNAAAAGUUNCUUNCGGGNAAACNGCCUUAUUUUUUUUAAGAGUCCCUAUCGACAAAAAAGUUUGCGACCUCGAUGUUGAAUUAAAAUUUCCUUCUGGCGCAGCAGCUAAAAAGGAGGGUCUGUUCGACCUUAAAAUUUUACAUGAUUUGAGUUCAG
This 511-nucleotide ribosomal RNA is filed under the name Tethisea mindoro. Its description in RNAcentral is "partial 16S ribosomal RNA". It matches the Rfam family "Bacterial large subunit ribosomal RNA", at positions 1839 to 2614 of the family's 2925-position model. Lineage: Eukaryota; Metazoa; Arthropoda; Malacostraca; Decapoda; Micheleidae. The record is from RNAcentral.